CAAGGGUUAACUUGAAAUAUGAAUAGCAAGAGUGUACUUGAUAGAACGUCUUCUGAAAUAAUGUAUUAGGUUCUUCCAACUCGUUAUAUCAGUAAGAUUGGGCUUCAAGUAUUUUUUAGGCUCGGCUUAACAACAAUAACAUAAAGUUUGACCUCAAAUCAGGUAGGACUACCCGCUGAACUUAAGCAUAUCAAUAAGCGGAGGAAAAGAAACCAACAGGGAUUGCCUCAGUAACGGCGAGUGAAGCGGCAAAAGCUCAAAUUUGAAAUCUAGCACCUUCGGUGUUCGAGUUGUAAUUUGAAGAUGGUAACCUUGGGUUUGGCUCUUGUCUAUGUUCCUUGGAACAGGACGUCAUAGAGGGUGAGAAUCCCGUCUGAUGAGAUGCCCAUUCCUAUGUAAGGUGCUAUCGAAGAGUCGAGUUGUUUGGGAAUGCAGCUCUAAGUGGGUGGUAAAUUCCAUCUAAAGCUAAAUAUUGGCGAGAGACCGAUAGCGAACAAGUACAGUGAUGGAAAGAUGAAAAGAACUUUGAAAAGAGAGUGAAAAAGUACGUGAAAUUGUUGAAAGGGAAGGGCAUUAGAUCAGACUUGGUGUUUUACGAUUAUCUUCUCUUCUUGAGUUGUGCACUCGUAUUUCACUGGGCCAGCAUCGAUUCGGAUGGUAAGAUAAUGACAGUUGAACGUGGCUCCAUUCGUGGAGUGUUAUAGCUUCUGUUGAUAUUGCCUGUCUGGAUCGAGGGCUGCGUCUUUUGACUAGGAUGCUGGCGUAAUGAUCUAAUGCCGCCCGUCUUGAAACACGGACCAAGGAGUCUAACGUCUAUGCGAGUGUUUGGGUGUAAAACCCGUACGCGUAAUGAAAGUGAACGUAGGUGAGAGCUCUUUUGAGUGCAUCAUCGACCGAUCCUGAUGUUUUCGGAUGGAUUUGAGUAAGAGCAUAGCUGUUGGGACCC
The sequence is a ribosomal RNA, 946 nucleotides long. The stretch from base 149 to 946 matches the Rfam family "Eukaryotic large subunit ribosomal RNA", at positions 1 to 817 of the family's 3401-position model.